GAUGAACGCUAGCUACAGGCUUAACACAUGCAAGUCGAGGGGAAACGACAUCGAAAGCUUGCUUUUGAUGGGCGUCGACCGGCGCACGGGUGAGUAACGCGUAUCCAACCUGCCCACCACUUGGGGGAUAACCUUGCGAAAGUAAGACUAAUACCCAAUGACGUCUCUAGAAGACAUCUGAAAGAGAUUAAAGAUUUAUCGGUGAUGGAUGGGGAUGCGUCUGAUUAGCUUGUUGGCGGGGUAAACGGCCCACCAAGGCAACGAUCAGUAGGGGGUUCUGAGAGGAAGGUCCCCCCACAUUGGAACUGAGCACGGUCCAAACUCCUACGGGAGGCAGCAGUGAGGAAUAUUGGUCAAUGGGCGAGAGCCUG
Molecule: ribosomal RNA, 371 nt
Filed under: uncultured bacterium
Lineage: Bacteria
Description: bacterial SSU rRNA
Rfam family: Bacterial small subunit ribosomal RNA
Source: RNAcentral